AGAGUUUGAUCAUGGCUCAGGACGAACGCUGGCGGCGUGCCUAAUACAUGCAAGUCGAGCGGACUUGAUGGGGAGCUUGCUCCUCUGAUGGUUAGCGGCGGACGGGUGAGUAACACGUAGGCAACCUGCCUGUAAGACUGGGAUAACUACCGGAAACGGUAGCUAAUACCGGAUAACUUAUCGCCCUGCAUGGGGAGGUA
This 200-nucleotide ribosomal RNA is filed under the name uncultured bacterium. Its description in RNAcentral is "partial 16S ribosomal RNA". It matches the Rfam family "Bacterial small subunit ribosomal RNA", at positions 8 to 200 of the family's 1533-position model. The record is from RNAcentral.